AUAUCAAUAAGCGGAGGAAAAGAAACCAACAGGGAUUACCUCAGUAACGGCGAGUGAAGCGGUAACAGCUCAAAUUUGAAAUCUGGCCUCACGGUCCGAGUUGUAAUUUGUAGAGGAUGUUUCGAGCAUGGUCUGGCCUAAGUUCCUUGGAACAGGACGUCAUAGAGGGUGAGAAUCCCGUAUGCGGUCAGGUGCCUACGCUCAUGUGAAGCUCCUUCGACGAGUCGAGUUGUUUGGGAAUGCAGCUCAAAAUGGGUGGUAAAUUUCAUCUAAAGCUAAAUAUUGGCCAGAGACCGAUAGCGCACAAGUAGAGUGAUCGAAAGAUGAAAAGCACUUUGGAAAGAGAGUUAAACAGUACGUGAAAUUGUUGAAAGGGAAGCGCUUGCAACCAGACUUGCGCGCGGCUGAUCAUCCGGUGUUCUCACCGGUGCACUCGGUCGCGCUCAGGCCAGCAUCGGUUUCGGUGGUGGGAUAAAGGCCCUGGGAAUGUAGCUCCUCUCGGGGAGUGUUAUAGCCCAGGGUGCAAUGCCGCCUACCGGGACCGAGGACCGCGCUUCGGCUAGGAUGCUGGCGUAAUGGUUGUAAGCGA
This 589-nucleotide ribosomal RNA is filed under the name uncultured fungus. RNAcentral describes it as "eukaryotic LSU rRNA". It matches the Rfam family "Eukaryotic large subunit ribosomal RNA", at positions 40 to 647 of the family's 3401-position model. The record is from RNAcentral. Lineage: Eukaryota; Fungi.